Molecule: unclassified non-coding RNA, 102 nt
Organism: Cercocebus atys (sooty mangabey)
Lineage: Eukaryota; Metazoa; Chordata; Mammalia; Primates; Cercopithecidae
Rfam family: Y RNA
About the family: Y RNAs are components of the Ro ribonucleoprotein particle (Ro RNP), in association with Ro60 and La proteins. The Y RNAs and Ro60 and La proteins are well conserved, but the function of the Ro RNP is not known.
Source: Ensembl
GGCUGGUCCAAGUGCAGUGGUGUUUACAACUAAUUGAUCACAACCAGUUACAUGUUUCUUGGUUCCUUCUCCACUCUCACUGCUUCAUCUAACUAGUCUAUA